This 274-nucleotide ribosomal RNA is filed under the name uncultured bacterium. Its description in RNAcentral is "partial 16S ribosomal RNA". It matches the Rfam family "Bacterial small subunit ribosomal RNA", at positions 523 to 796 of the family's 1533-position model. The record is from RNAcentral.
AUACAGAGGGUGCGAGCGUUAAUCGGAAUUACUGGGCGUAAAGCGCGCGUAGGUGGUUAUGUAAGUUGGAUGUGAAAGCCCCGGGCUUAACCUGGGAAUUGCAUUCAAAACUGCAUGGCUAGAGUCUGAUAGAGGGAAGUGGAAUUUCCGGUGUAGCGGUGAAAUGCGUAGAUAUCGGAAGGAACACCAGUGGCGAAGGCGACUUCCUGGGCCAAUACUGACGCUGAGGUGCGAAAGCGUGGGGAGCAAACAGGAUUAGAAACCCCGGUAGUCC